This 253-nucleotide ribosomal RNA is filed under the name Blautia faecis. RNAcentral's name for it is "partial 16S ribosomal RNA". It matches the Rfam family "Bacterial small subunit ribosomal RNA", at positions 524 to 776 of the family's 1533-position model. Lineage: Bacteria; Bacillati; Bacillota; Clostridia; Lachnospirales; Lachnospiraceae. The record is from RNAcentral.
UACGUAGGGGGCGAGCGUUAUCCGGAUUUACUGGGUGUAAAGGGAGCGUAGACGGCGCAGCAAGUCUGAUGUGAAAGGCAGGGGCUUAACCCCUGGACUGCAUUGGAAACUGCUGUGCUUGAGUGCCGGAGGGGUAAGCGGAAUUCCUAGUGUAGCGGUGAAAUGCGUAGAUAUUAGGAGGAACACCAGUGGCGAAGGCGGCUUACUAGACGGUAACUGACGUUGAGGCUCGAAAGCGUGGGGAGCAAACAGG